GACGAACGCUGGCGGCGUGCUUAACACAUGCAAGUCGAACGGAAAGGCCCUGCUUUUGUGGGGUGCUCGAGUGGCGAACGGGUGAGUAACACGUGAGUAACCUGCCCUUGACUCUGGGAUAACUUCAGGAAACUGGGGCUAAUACCGGAUAGGAGCUCCUGCUGCAUGGUGGGGGUUGGAAAGUUUCGGCGGUUGGGGAUGGACUCGCGGCUUAUCAGCUUGUUGGUGGGGUAGUGGCUUACCAAGGCUUUGACGGGUAGCCGGCCUGAGAGGGUGACCGGCCACAUUGGGACUGAGAUACGGCCCAGACUCGUACGGGAGGCAGCGGUGGGGACGAUUGCACAAUGGGCGGAAGCCUGGUGCAGCAACGCCGCGUGCGGGAUGAAGGCCUUCGGGUUGUAAACCGCUUUGGCCUGUGACGAAGCGUGAGUGACGGUAAUGGGUAAAGAAGCACCGGCUAACUACGUG
Molecule: ribosomal RNA, 468 nt
Filed under: uncultured bacterium
Lineage: Bacteria
Description: partial 16S ribosomal RNA
Rfam family: Bacterial small subunit ribosomal RNA
Source: RNAcentral